GCAUCUGUGAGGGUGGAAAUGCUCCGGCGGUCAAGGAUGGGCUCGCGGCCUAUCAGCUUGUUGGUGAGGUAACGGCUCACCAAGGCUUCGACGGGUAGCCGGCCUGAGAGGGCGACCGGCCACACUGGGACUGAGAUACGGCCCAGACUCCUACGGGAGGCAGCAGUGGGGAAUAUUGCGCAAUGGGCGAAAGCCUGACGCAGCAACGCCGCGUGCGGGAUGACGGCCUUCGGGUUGUAAACCGCUUUCAGCAGGGACGAAGGGUCUCUGACGGUACCUGCAGAAGAAGCACCGGCCAACUACGUGCCAGCAGCCGCGGUGAUACGUAGGAUGCGAGCGUUGUCCGGAAUUAUUGGGCGUAAAGAGCUUGUAGGCGGUUUGUCACGUCGGAAGUGAAAACUCAGGGCUUAACCCUGAGCCUGCUUCCGAUACGGGCAGACUAGGGGAAGGUAGGGGAGAAUGGAACUCCUGGUGGAGCGGUGGAAUGCGCAGAUAUCAGGAAGAACACCGGUGGCGAANGCGGUUCUCUGGACCUUUCCUGACGCUGAGAAGCGAAAGCGUGGGGAGCAAACAGGCUUAGAU
This 582-nucleotide ribosomal RNA is filed under the name uncultured Propionibacteriaceae bacterium. RNAcentral's name for it is "bacterial SSU rRNA". It matches the Rfam family "Bacterial small subunit ribosomal RNA", at positions 186 to 783 of the family's 1533-position model. Lineage: Bacteria; Bacillati; Actinomycetota; Actinomycetes; Propionibacteriales; Propionibacteriaceae. The record is from RNAcentral.